RNAcentral lists this ribosomal RNA (443 nucleotides) under uncultured bacterium. RNAcentral's name for it is "partial 16S ribosomal RNA". It matches the Rfam family "Bacterial small subunit ribosomal RNA", at positions 338 to 795 of the family's 1533-position model. The record is from RNAcentral.
CCUACGGGAGGCAGCAGUGGGGAAUAUUGGGCAAUGGGCGCAAGCCUGACCCAGCAAAGCCGCGUGAAGGAAGAAGGCAUUCGGGUUGUAAACUUCUUUUCUCAGGGACGCAGCAAGUGACGGUACCUGAGGAAUAAGCCACGGCGAACUACGAGCCAGCAGCCGCGGCAAUACGUAGGUGGCAAGCGUUAUCCGGAUUUAAUGGGCGUAAAGCGCUCGUAGGCGGUAUGUCAAGUCAAGGGUGAAAUCCCCGCGCUCAACGUGGGAACUGCCUUUGAAACUGGCAAACUGGAGUGUGUGAGAGGAUAGUGGAAUGCGAGGUGUAGGGGUGAAAUCCGUAGAUAUCUGGAGGAACCUCAGUGGCGAAGGCGACUAUCUGGCACAUAACUGACGCUGAGGAGCGAAAGCGUGGGUAGCAAACAGGAUUAGAUACCCUAGUAGUC